CGCAUCUGUGCAUGCAGCAUAUCAAUAAGCGGAGGAAAAGAAACUAACAAGGAUUCCCUUAGUAACGGCGAGUGAAGCGGGAAGAGCUCAAAUUUGAAAUCUUAAAGGGUUUCCCUUUACGAAUUGUAGUUUAAAGAAGUGUUUUCUGUUGAGGUUUUGGUAAAAGUUCUUUGGAAUAGGACAUCAUAGAGGGUGAGAAUCCCGUAUUUGACCUUUACUUUCAACUUUGUGAUACACUUUCAAAGAGUCGGAUUGUCUGGGAAUGCAGUCCAAAAUGGGUGGUAAAUUUCAUCUAAAGCUAAAUAUUGGCGAGAGACCGAUAGCGAACAAGUACCGUGAGGGAAAGAUGAAAAGAACUUUGAAAAGAGAGUUAAACAGUACGUGAAAUUGUCAAAAGGGAAGCGUUUGACACCAGUGUUGUUUUUCUGAAAAUCAAUUAAAGAACUGUUUAUGCUAAGUUGUUUAGACUUUAUCAGCUAAUCUGCUUAGUUUUGAGCUUUUCUUUAAUGCACUUUUCAGUUAACAAGUCAACAUCAAUUUCUUUUGCUGUAAAAAAGCUUGAGGAAGGUGGCUUGAGAUUCGUCUUAAGUGUUUAUAGCCUCUUGCCUAUGCAGUCGGAGAGAUUGAGGUCUGCAGCGUAGAUCCUUCGGGGCUAAAUGCAUUUGUGCUAAGUUAUAGCAUUUUAUAGACAACUUGUUGACUAUGAUUUGUCUUGUAGCUUACUCGCUUAUGUUAUUUUACCUACGCUUAGGAUGUUGAUAGUCACAGCGUGUAC
RNAcentral lists this ribosomal RNA (775 nucleotides) under uncultured Neocallimastigales. RNAcentral describes it as "partial large subunit ribosomal RNA". It matches the Rfam family "Eukaryotic large subunit ribosomal RNA", at positions 26 to 643 of the family's 3401-position model. Lineage: Eukaryota; Fungi; Neocallimastigomycota; Neocallimastigomycetes; Neocallimastigales. The record is from RNAcentral.